This 364-nucleotide ribosomal RNA is filed under the name uncultured bacterium. Its description in RNAcentral is "partial 16S ribosomal RNA". It matches the Rfam family "Bacterial small subunit ribosomal RNA", at positions 338 to 699 of the family's 1533-position model. The record is from RNAcentral.
CCUACGGGAGGCUGCAGUGAGGAAUAUUGGUCAAUGGACGCAAGUCUGAACCAGCCAUGCCGCGUGCAGGAAGACGGCCCUAUGAGUUGUAAACUGCUUUUGUACGGGGGUAAACGCAGAUACGCGUAUCUGUCUGAAAGUAUCUUACGAAUAAGGAUCGGCUAACUCCGUGCCAGCAGCCGCGGUAAUACGGAGGAUUCAAGCGUUAUCCGGAUUUAUUGGGUUUAAAGGGUGCGUAGGCGGUCGGAUAAGUUAGAGGUGAAAUCCCGAGGCUCAACCUCGGAAUUGCCUCUGAUACUGGUCGGCUAGAGAGUAGUUGAGGGAGGCGGAAUGUAUGGUGUAGCGGUGAAAUGCGUAGAGAUCA